Long non-coding RNA from Callithrix jacchus (white-tufted-ear marmoset), 2561 nucleotides. The record is from Ensembl. Lineage: Eukaryota; Metazoa; Chordata; Mammalia; Primates; Cebidae.
AUGCCAUCGGCUAGGCUUUUUACCACGAGGUUCCUGGUGUCAAACAGGUUGGAGACCACUGAUUUAAAGCAUCAGAGAACGGUGUGGUUAAGGUAUGAGUUAAAUUAUCACCCACGGGGCCAAGUCAGAGAUCAUUUUACCAGUGGAAAGCUAAGGAGUCAGCUGUGGUUCCCCUCCCACGCACUGUCACACAGGGGAGGGGAGCAGAGACACCAGUGCGUGGAAAUCCCAUCUUCCCACAAGGCUGAGCCAUCCACAGAGGCUUUCCCGUGCCCCACAGGGAGCCCAGGGCUCUGCCCCACCAGCCUAGGCUUCAUCUGAGUCCAGUUUUAAUCCCUCUCCACCUCCGCCUUCAGUGAGGCUGAUGAAGCGCCCCUCACAUUCAGCCUUUCGAGAAGCUUCCAUUAAUUCUUCUAGGAAGAUCCAAUCUUCCCAUGUCUCUCAUCAAUCCCUGGUCCUACAAACUGACAGGGAACUCCUCCAGGACAUACGUCCCUGCAGAGGAGGAGGAAACCCUCCUCCAUUAUACAGGAUGAAACUUGGUUCCUCUCAGUUUAUCUUGACCACCUGGGGAUGUUCAGCCCCAUCAUUAUUUGCCUCAAGGAAGGCACUGAAGGGCAAGGGGAGACUUUUGGGGGCCUCCCGAAAGGUUCAAUAAAAGCGUUUAUGGUAGCCCAGGAACCUGGGUCAUCGCAGGCCUGUGCUGUUGACAGGACAGGCACGCACUCGCCACAGGCAUGCCUGUGAGUCCCCUGGCACCAGAGGGACUUCAUUUCAUUCAUCUAUCACUCGUGGGCAUGUACCUCACUGAGAACUCCUUAGUCCACAUAAAUCCUGGCGAGGACGGGACCUUUGGAAUGUAUUUCCCAGUCAUGGACAUAACUUAGAAGCAUUGCUGAAUGUGGACCUGCUUGGCUCCACACAGUAAUAAAUCUAGGUCAUAAAGUCCAAAACAUAUGCUAAUAUGGGACUCAAAUAUAAAUAGCUAGCAAGCAUUAUCCGGAAAGAUAGUUUCAGUUUAAUUUUAUAACAUUGCAAGCAAGGAAGGCAUCACUUUACCCUAAAUUCUUUUAGAGAAAUUGAGACCUCCGUCCAAGAGGGACAUGAAUUGGGUCCCAAUAAAUUCUGACUCAAAGUGUAAUUGCAUUUGGUGGCUUGAUCUCACCUUCAAAUCUAACCUCACAUGAUUGAAAGGACUGAGACUGUGAAACUUGAGUAAGAAUUCAGGCUCCAUAUAGGCAGCCCUUCGUCUCUCAGAGAACUUGAGGAUUCCGGUGACUCCUGAGGUGCUGGAGAGAGUGACAGGUCAGAACCAUCUUGCUCCCUCCUUUAAACUUCUCCUUCUCCAUAAAAUAACCAAUGAGUGCUAUGACUGUCUUCUAAGACCACUCUUAAGAAGCAGCAGUAGCUGGGCGCGGUGGCUCAAGCCUGUAAUCCCAGCACUUUGGGAGGCCAAGGCGGGUGGAUCACGAGGUCAAGAGAUCGAGACCAUCCUGGUCAACAUGGUGAAACCCCGUCUCCACUAAAAAUACAAAAAAAAAAUUAGCUGGGCAUGGUGGCGCGUGCCUGUAAUCCCAGCUACUCGGGAGGCUGAGACAGAAGAAUCGCCUGAAUCCAGGAGGCAGAGGCUGCGGUGAGCCGAGGUCGGGCCAUUGCACUCCAGCCUGGGUAACAAGAGCGAAACUCCAUCUCAAAAAAAAAAAAAAAGCCGCAGCAGCAUGACAUGAAUGCAGGUACGGUGAUGCUCAUCAGCUCUCGUAUCAUUCAGUCUGCAUGGAGCUGACACGAUAUACUUCAUGUUUGCGUGAUUUUCUUAUUUGACUUUUCCAUACAUCCAAUGAAUCAUAGAAGCUGCAUAUGACAACUCCCUUCUCAGGACUGACAAAUGUGAUCUAAAAUUAUUUUGGAUUUGCUGAAAUUCACACGACUAGCUGGUGAUCAGGUCGUAAUGGGAAGCCUGGGACCUGCGUUCUUCGCCCCUGUCCUCUCCGUUACCCAGUAGGUAGCAGUGGGUGAGGAGGUCUCAGCAAGGUGGGAAAAAUAACCCUCUUAUUACCAGGACUAUGAGGCUCUCAAGCCCAUGCCCAAGAGAAACGUGUCAUUGGAUCAUUUGGAGAUUUUUUUCCAAGAUGAUUCAAUUAUUAUUUUCAUUAAGAGUGAGGUAGAAAGUGGAACUUGACUCCAGAGGCAGAGAUUAGACAGUGGACCAGAUUGAGGACUACCUAAAACAUGGCCCCUGGGGCAAAAGCAGCUUCUGAACAGACAUGUCCAUCUGUGUGCCAUGUCAGUUUAACAGAGAGGCUAUGCAUGAAUGAGGCAGGCAGUGUGUAGAGAAGGGGGUGCUGAUAAUGUGGGGCUCUGCCUGAGUGCAGCAGGGAGUGUGUAGAGAAGGAGGUGCUGAUAAUGGGGGGCUGUGUGUGAGGCGGGAAGUGUGUAGAGAAGGGGGUGCUGAUAAUGUGGGGCUGUGUGUGAGGCGGGAAGUGUGUAGAGAAGGGGGUGCUGAUAAUGGGGGGCUGUGUGUGAGGCGGGAAGUGUGUAGAGAAGGAGGUGCUGAUAAUGGG